Long non-coding RNA from Marmota monax (woodchuck), 1204 nucleotides. RefSeq lists it as uncharacterized. The transcript has 2 exons. The record is from RefSeq and is a predicted model, not a curated record. NCBI's taxonomy places the organism in Eukaryota, Metazoa, Chordata, Mammalia, Rodentia, Sciuridae.
AGGAGCCUCUUUUAUUUGCUCUGUGAAUGUAGCUUUUCAUUGCACAGCUGAACAAUCAGGAGGUCCUAUAAAUGGUCCAAGAUGUGGGCUGAAAGAAAAUGGACUGGGGAUGUAGCUAGUUGGCAGAGCCCUUACCUAGGGAGGCCCUGGGUUUGAUCCCCAGUACAACAAAAAAGAAGAAAACAGGGGAGGGGAGCAACAGGAGGGAGAAAGAAAGAACACAGGAAGAAAAUAGCCGAAACAAGGGGAUGGGCCGCUAUAGCUGCCAGGAAAAGCGCUCCCUUCUGUUUCCCGAGUGAAGAAACCUGUUGACUACGGGAAUGAGGCGUUUGGAGAGAUUUCGUCAUUACCUGAAAUCCAUCCAGCAUUAAGGGCUACCUUUGGAGAGACGGUGGAAGGAGAUCGUGCAGGAUUUCAAAACCGACUGGAGGCUUUAGAGCACCCCAGCGGGAGCUAGGGAAGCUACCUGGAGGUUUUGUGUGGCUGCUGUAGCAGGUUGGGUGCCAUCCCCAGGGAGAGGAUCACCAUUGUGCUCAAGGACAUCCAGCUGGCUUGCUCUGUGAUGAGCACAGUACCAGAAGUUAUAGUUGCAUGGCACUGUGGGCUUCGAGUCUUUGGCUUCUCCCUUAUCACUAACAUGGUCAUCAUGGAUUAUGAAAGCCUGGAAAAGACGACUCAUGAGGAAGUAUUAGAGGCUGGAAAACAAGCUGCACAGAAAUUGGAAAAGUUUGUCUCCAUUCUUAUGGCCAUCAUUCCCCCCCCCCCCCCCCCCCGCCCCGACAAUACCAUUUGACCAGCCCUGGAAUGGUCCAACCGCUAAUGGGAUCCCAGUAACUGCUACCUUCUUUGGCCCUUUCCUGGGUCAUGUGCCUCUACCCUUCAAUAAUAGCAGAAAGGAAAGGAGUGGAAGAUCCCCGUCCUUCACCUUCCCCACUUUUCUACCAGAUACUUCUGGUACUAGAACCUCUUGCUCAAUUGUCUUCUCAGAGCAGUUUGUUUUCACCUCCAUUCUUUGUAAGAGACAGAGCCCAUGCUCUGUCACACCUGGGGAUAUACCCAUGGUUUGAUAUAGGCCUUUGACUGUCACACAGUAGCUCCUACUACUGCCUCACCUAAAGCACUGGAGACCAAACAAGACCAGCCCAGAACCUCCUGGAAUUUAAUUAAUAUCAUAAUGUUUUUACAAUAAAGAGAGAUGAAAUAA